GUUGUUACCAGGAAGUUCAAAUGGAGACAUGUAGUGAGUUACCUAAAAAGGUCAUGCUGUGAUAAUGCAAUUCACUGGGAGAGAAAGCUUCGGGGCUCAGAAGCAAGGCUGGGCUGAAAACACAGAGGUCAAGGUCAUCUUAGAGGAGACACUGGGACCCGUACACACAGUCACAGAUAUGAGGUCCUACUUUGAUUAAUUACUGGUCCCUGCUACCUCCUACUAUGGGGUUCACGGCUUCAACCUACUUUCUCCAGCCUGCAUGAAAAAAGAAAAGGUACAAAUAUAGCCAAGAAAGACAAUUAAUUAC
This 310-nucleotide long non-coding RNA is filed under the name Chinchilla lanigera (long-tailed chinchilla). RNAcentral describes it as "lncRNA (ENSCLAG00000023398.1)". The record is from RNAcentral. Lineage: Eukaryota; Metazoa; Chordata; Mammalia; Rodentia; Chinchillidae.